Molecule: ribosomal RNA, 442 nt
Filed under: uncultured bacterium
Lineage: Bacteria
Description: partial 16S ribosomal RNA
Rfam family: Bacterial small subunit ribosomal RNA
Source: RNAcentral
CCUACGGGUGGCAGCAGUAGGGAAUCUUUCACAAUGGGCGAAAGCCUGAUGGAGCAACGCCGCGUGCAGGAUGAAGGCCUUCGGGUUGUAAACUGCUUUUAUAAGCGAGAAAUAUGAUGGUAACUUAUGAAUAAGGAUCGGCUAACUACGUGCCAGCAGCCGCGGUCAUACGUAGGAUCCGAGCAUUAUCCGGAGUGACUGGGUGUAAAGAGUUGCGUAGGUGGGAUAAUAAGUAGCUAGGGAAAUCUGGUGGCGCAAACAUUCAGACUAUUAGCUAAACUGUUAAGCUCGAGACCGUUAGGGGUAACUGGAAUUUCUAGUGUAGGAGUGAAAUCCGUAGAUAUUAGAAGGAACACCAAUAGCGAAGGCAGGUUGCUGGGACGGUUCUGACACUAAGGCACGAAAGCGUAGGGAGCAAACGGGAUUAGAUACCCCAGUAGUC